This 133-nucleotide ribosomal RNA is filed under the name uncultured bacterium. Its description in RNAcentral is "partial 16S ribosomal RNA". The record is from RNAcentral.
CGGUACCGUCAAAGCCGAUCCUUAUUCGGAAUCAGCCUAUUCUUCCCACCUGACAGAGCUUUACGACCCGAAGGCCUUCAUCACUCACGCGGCGUUGCUGCGUCAGGGUUUCCCCCAUUGCGCAAUAUUCCCC